This 10535-nucleotide unclassified non-coding RNA is filed under the name Manduca sexta (tobacco hornworm). RNAcentral's name for it is "gATOR complex protein NPRL2, transcript variant X1". Lineage: Eukaryota; Metazoa; Arthropoda; Insecta; Lepidoptera; Sphingidae. The record is from RNAcentral.
UCUGACGUUUCAACUUUCAAGAAUUGUCAAACAUAACCACACGCGUAUAAAUAAAAGUGAAGUAUUGAUUUAUUUAUUUACAAAGGCGAUAGUACACUCGACAGUGCUUGUAUAAAUCAUAUACUUAAAUUCAGUAUCAAGAUGCAACGUUAAAAUACAGCAAAUGCAAGUGCAGAAUCGUCUCAAAGUGGUUAGGCAGAAAGAUUAUGAAGGUGACAUCGGAUCGAACUUAGGAUUGUCUAAUAAAAUGAUGGAGACCAGAUACUACGAAGGAUGCGGAAGAGAGGGGCCCAUACGGUGCAUAUUCCUGGGAGAGUUUCAUCCUGUGGCCGGGCCGAAGAUUUCAUGUCAGUUCCCUGAAGAUUAUAUAUCAAAAGAAGUGUUUGAUUCUAUCAGCGCGUUCAUCAUUCCAAAACCCCAGAUACAAAAAUGUACAAUGACUAUAAACGCACUGGGUCACAAAGUGGUGGGCUACCCGAUCCGGAUCGAUAACUCGCGGUACGAGCGCAAUGUUUACCUCUUCAACCUGUGUUUUGUCUGCGAUAGCUGGUCCAAAACUGUGCAAUACGAACCGGUUGUGAAAAAACUUGGAGAGCACCUGACGAUUAUGGAAGAGGAGACGCGGUUCGUGUCCAGCGGUUCAAGCAAGCUGCCCACUUUACUCGCGCAUCUGUUGCACGAUCUGAACACUCACAGGAAGGCCACAUUAGUCGAGGGCGACACUGUGAUGCACCUCAAAGUGCUGGAGAUUCGCAACGACCCGUCGCCGGUGCACGACCACGACGUGCCGGUGCUGGUGACGUCAGUGGGUCUGCCGCGACCCGGCCGCCCGCGCAGGACCACGCCGCCAGAGGGCGCUGAGAUACAAAGCGAUGAGCAUCUUGACCUGGAGGAUGAUGAGCCGUUCGAGAUCGACAUGGAGGCGGACUGGGAUCUUACAACUAGACAGCUCCUCCCAUACAUAAACGGAUACAACCACGUAUCAAAAAUAGCCGCCGACACGAACGUGGAGAAGACCCUGGUCAAGUCGUGCAUCCAGAACCUGCUGUACUACGGCGCGGUGACGCUGAUCCCGGUGCUCAAGUUCAGCAACAUGUACCGCGCCACGCCCAACCUGAGCCGUCUGUUCGGCGACACCGAGCUGCAGAAGUCGUGCCUCGCUUACAUCACUAAUGGAUCAGAUUCUAAAGACAAGCCCUGUCUAUCGGACGUGCUGGGUAUCCUGUGCUCCCUGCAGCAGGGUACGACGCUUCGUACUGUCAGCGAGAGAUACGUGACUGCGCAGGGCCCUCCCUUCGACAUCAGGCGGCUGGUGGUCUUCGCGCAGCUUCACGGGCUCAUCAGAUGUCUUAAAAAAUACCCAGUGUACGCGAAACAUCCUCCCAGGUCGAACGGGUUCAGCAGCCGCGCGGACCCCGUGCUGGGCAUCCGGCGACUCUUCACCGGCCACCACUGCACCGACGAGAUCUGCUGCAUGGCGCGCGUCGACCUCCCCACCCUCGACCAGAUCAUAGAGGACGACCCCAACGUUGUCAUCAUAUGGCGGUAAAGUGGUCCUUCGAGCCAGAUUUUGUUAUAUUGUUUGUGUAUAGAAAUGACUUUUAGUUUUGACGGCUGGAUUUUUUACGUCAUGAUUGUUUCUUUAAUAUUCGUACAGUUUGAUUCAAACUUAAUGGUGACUCGUGAACAAUGUACGUAUGAUGCGCUGAACCCAAUAGCGCACGUUCGUGUUUUGUUAUUAUGCGUUUGCGUUUUGCUAAAUAUGGUCAUUAUAAAUUUGGAUGACACAACAAAUUUAACGGCAUUUAUUUGAUAAUAUCGAUUUACUUUAACUCAUCUAAAAUAGAAAACCCGUGAUAUCUUCCAAAAAAAAUUCAAAAUUCAUCAACGAAAUACAUAGUAUUACAACAUUUUAUAAACUGUUUCAAAUAUAAAAAAUAAUUAAACUUUUAUAUUGAAUAUGAAUACUUAAUGUACCUAUUAUCGACUUGAUUUUACCUGCGCCUAAACCUAAGUGAAGUGGCCAUUAAGUUUGAGGCAUACAAAAUUUUAUUUCUAAAUGAUUUUUAAUUUAUGAACACACACGAUUUCAUUACAUUUUUCUACAAUAGGGAGACACAGAUGGAAAACAUUUUUUAUUCUCUCGUUUCAAUAUAAUGUGAAACGAACAGUUAUAAAUAUGUUGCGAUUUUGAGUCCCAAAUUUUAAUAUUACAAUAAAUAACUCAAUAGAAUUAAGGUGUCUAUUAAAUUAACUGUGUAAAAUAAAAUAAUUAUUAACUAAUAGAAACUCACAAAAUAUUUCAGCUUAGGUUUGAAAUGACUCAGUGGGAAUGUGCUGCGAUACUAUUGGUUGAUACUUAUGUCGUUUCAGACCAGUUUUGGUCGAUAGAUAUCCUUUAUUCUAUCAAUAAAAAUAGUUAGUAUUAAUACAUACAUUAAAUAGUAAAUUAUUCAUUAGUAAACAUAACGCUCUCAUUUUAUAUAGUUUGAUUCGUGAUUACUGAUCCAGACUGAGUGAGCUACACACCGUCAAUCAAUAUUGUCCGUUGGAACUGCGAGUUUGCUGUUCAGCUUGGACUGAUGGUGUGUGGCGUGUGGAAUUUAAGGCUGGCAACACGCGUACGUUUUAUUUAUCUCUGCUAGAGAGUUUGUGAAACAAAUUCCUUAUUUUAGUCACGAGUCGGGAACAUGACGCGUUACUUAUAAUAUUAAUGUUAAUUGUUAGUUAUUAUUAAUAUUUCUCAAAUGUAAUUAAUCUAAUUUUGUAUUAUUGUACAAUUCAAUAUAUUGAAUUGCCUAUAAAAAUAAUAUUUUUAACAUAGUUAAAGUAUACUUUAAAAUAAUAUGGACGUUAGCAUUCGUGUUCGUAAGACGGUUUCCCCAACGAUACGGCGCGCUGGCCGCAUCUUAAAAAGCUAUCUAUUUGAAAUUUAUAAUAAUACAUAUAAAAAGGAAAAUUAACAUCGUACAUAAUCAUAGUUGUUCUUUAUUUUGGUUGUUUAUUUUUUUUUAUUAUAUUUUUAUAUUCAUUUCAUAAUGAAAAUGACACUUUAAUUGUUAAUUCUAUGUAGCUCCUACAAAAGUACUCAACCAAUACUAUUAGAUAGACAUUUUAAUAAGGAUAAUUUUAGUGAAAUUUCAAAAAGAUCUAUAAUUGUUUUUUUAAUGCAUUUUUAAAUCAUUGAAUAUUCCCGUACGUAACUCGUGCGCCGAUUCUAUAAAAGGAAUGCUCAAGGCCGUUUGGUGGGGGGGAGGGUCUUAACUUAUGUAAAUUUUAACACGCGAGUUUCAACCGAACACCGCUUAUGAUAAAGUUGUAAAUAUGUUAGAUUAAACGCUUAAUUAAUUAUCAAGAGAGCGGCACCCGCCUGUAACAUCUAGCUUUAGAUUAAAAGAACACUUAAUUAUACAUCUUAGAUUAAAUGCUUCUUAAUAUCUGGUUAAAUGGCCAUAAUUAAAUGUGAUUAUCCAAUCAAAAAUCUACUCUUUCCUAAUAGCCGGCUUGUAACCUUAAGUACUGUAGGCAUUUAUCGUCUUUAUAAUCAUUUUUAAUUUGUGUUAUAGCCUUGAUCACAUUAUGUACUGAAGGAUAAGUCUCAACUGACUUUUUAUUUAGUUUCAAUUGUGACCAUAAUUUAAAUGCUUUUGUAGGCUAUUCCCCCCAAGCUUGCUUGAUUGUGGAUUAGACUACGGUCCCAUGGGCUACCCACCUGCUAGAUCUAGAUUGGUGUGUAGUCACUGCUGUUUCUAUUAACAGAGCUGGUUUUUUUAGCCCAGAGGUUUCCAAAAGUUUUUUUCCCAUAGACCACCUUUAAUAAAAUAUGGUUGAAAUUUUAAAUUCUUACCAUAUUCCCAAGAAUAUGCAAAUUUUUACAUGUAACAGCAAAUAUUAUCAAAAUCAGAUACAUUUUCGUGGAUCUCCGCUUACGAAUUGCGAAUCCACAUUUUUCGGUCACACCAACGAAGACCCGCGUUGAGUAUCUCGUGGACCGGUAAGGGUUUGGACCUUUGGGAAUCAAUGCUUUAGCCUCUCAGUUCCUUACACAGAUUGUUAUUAAUGGCAGUUAGGCAUUUAGUACUUCAAAUUUCUGUUAAUUUUGUAUUGCCCUGGCUUGAACACAUCGGGGUCGUGUCAUAGUCGCGGGCAGGUAAAGUCACUCCAUACAAACCAAUAUAUAAUGUGCGUAUAAUCAAACACAGAUUAAAAAUGUUUAUAAACUAUUACUCCACAACUAGUAUUUAGAUUUAUAAAGCACUACCAAUUAUAAUGUAUAUUUAAAAAUCCAUGUCUAACCAUUCAUGUAGAAAGUUUGCGGGCCGAAGGCUAGUCCCUGUCUAGGUUCCAUUGUACCAACGUUUAUCACUAAAUAUUUAGCUUAAAAUUAUUUAUUCCACUCGAUAUAAGGCAUAAUAUUCAAAUUUAAUCAAUUUACUUAAUAUUUUGUAUAUUUAGAAAAACAUUUUCAAUAAAAUUUUAAUUAAUCAACUUUGUGGCGAAAUUAGGUUAUUUAAAAUAUUAUCACAAAAAGUCGCUCUCCUGCAAAGAUUAGUCGCGAGGUCGCAAAUAUCAGUAUUUUAAAAUCGCUGCGACUUUUUCCACUACGUUCAGAAACUACGUUGAUAAUAAAUAAUAGUGCACAAUAGUUAGUUAAAAGUAUUUUUCAAACAAUGUAGUAUUAUGGUUAUUUUUUAAAGAGGCAUAGGGACAAGGCGACAUACAUAGUUAUUAUGAGUGAAUUUUUUUUUGGAAAAAAAUGUGAUAUCAACAAUUUAAACUUAAACGAGUGAUAGACUUGAGUAAAAACGCGUCCUCAUGGUUCGACGACCGUUUUUGCGUUUCUAUUGCCUUAUGUACGCAUUUUUAGACCCGCGAGUCGUCUAUCAACAUAAAGCACUUAAUUUUUGUAACAUGUUGAUAUAUAUCAUUCUUAAAUAACUUAGUUCUACUGGUGGGAGGUCCCGUAUGCGAGGGGCCGUCUGGGUUGGUACCACCGCAAUGUCUAUUUCUAUCGCCAUGCAGCAGUGUGCCUAUACUGUUGUGUUCCGGCUUGAAGGACAUUGUAGCCAGAAUAAUUACUGGGCAUAAUGAGAUUCAACAUCAUAUGUCUCAGAGAGUAUGUAUAAUAUUUUUACCGAUAUAGCUAGACAGGUUUAAUAUAUUAAAUGUUAUACCUACUUAUAUAUAAACACUGAAUAUAUAGUUACCAAUCGUUAAUUGCGCAUCAAGUCACAGAUAACUGCGCGUCAUGUCGUCCUGUGUUUAGUUGAGUCUCGUGCCUCUACAUGUACUUAUAUGUCCCAAAUAGUCAUAUUCGCUUUCCGUGACCAGUGUAAAUAAGUGAUAAUUAUUUAUAUAGUCUAGUUAACGUUAAAGUAUUUAAGUAUUUGUAAUAGGACUAAGUGAUAUUGUCGCAAAUUUCAUGGUGCCACUUGUUUUUACAUAUUUGCGAUUUUAUUGUCGCGCGGUCAUAGGCCCCCUUACAUUUAAUUACAUUAUCAAUUAUUAUAGUGUUUUUUAUCGGAUUGCGUUUUUUUUUUUUGGGAAUUGCCAUUGCGUACUUCUGCGGACCAUUUCAAUUUCAAAAUCUUCUAUAAUUUCUAUUGUUUUCAUAUAUACUUUUCAUUUCUUUUCUAUGCAUAUUUUUUUCGUUUUCAUAUUAUCUUUGUGUCUAUUAUUUCACUUCUGCGGUUUUGAAAUAAUGGUUCAGUAUUGGAGUAUUGCAAUUCUCUUUACCCUCAUUAGACAAGUCAAUUAUUGCUAGCAAUAGUCGUAUGCAACUAUUGGAAACCAUCUAAACCUCCACAGUGGUAAGACACACAGACACUUCUCGCUCGACGUAUACGAAUCUUUUGACAGAUGUUCAAAAUACGAUUGUCGCUAGCAAUAAUUGCUCCGUUUAAAUGAGGCUUUAGUUUAGUGCAUAAUGAUAAUUAUCACAAUCUUAGGUUAUUAUCCCGACUUAACCUUAGUAAGUUUCUCGUGGUUUUCUAUUUUGUUAAUCUUGCAACGUACAGUGAUUUUAGCUUAGUAUAGAUUAUUAUUCGUAUUUAAUUUUUAUCAUUCAAUUUAGUAUAAUCUGAGUUUAAGUAUAUGAUGUAUUUAUACCAUCCAUUUUAAAUAUAUUAAUUUAAUUUUUGUCUUGUUUCAAGUGGUAAACAUGGUAUGGUAAAUUGCGACAAUAUCACCAUGUUUCACUGUAUAUAACCAUAUGUGGUACACACGGCAUUCAAGUGCUUUUUUAAUUGUGCAUAAUUAGGGCAAUAACUUGUCUUAUAAUUAUAAGUGACCUCACACCCCGCACUGCCCCAAGGCAUUUACAAUGCAGUGAAACACACAAUAAAUGUUACAUUUAUCGGAUAUUGAUACAUAACUCAAUAAUAAUUUUCUUCGUUGUAUUUUUUAUUAAAAGACGCAGGGUUUAUAUAAAGGAAAUAAUUUUUGGAUAUUUGGUUGAUUUUAAUAUAAUAUUGACCCGUAAAUUUAUGUUUCUUGAGUCGUAUCCCUUAUUAUCGAGCGAGUGUUGCUCGGCUCGUCUUUCAAUUAAAUAAAAUAAAAUGAUUUUAUCAUUGUUUGAGCAGUCAAAUUAUAAUUACAUGUAUAUUUAUAUAGUACUUGACAAUCCAACAUCAUUCAUUUUUUAAAAUCAAGCUAUAAUAGCCAAUUAUAGGAUUGCACAACAUAUUUAUAUAGGUACCAUAUAUUGCGUAAAAAUAAUAUCAUGUUACGAAAUCAAGUGCUGAGUACGUAUGGAUGUGUAAUCUCGUGUGUUACGGUAAAUUUGCUAUAUCUGAUUAUUUAUCCAUACCAUUCCAAUUUUAUCCGACAUGUAGAUAUAUCCGAAGAGAUCAUGUAACGUUUAUUUUGUGUCACUGCACGCUUAUUCGUCUCCUCAUAAUUUAAGAUAGUAUAUGAACGUUGAACAGUGACUAUAUAUUUAUUAUAAACUGAGAGCAGUGUGUUAACCGUUGCCAGUAUACUCGUUUGGUAUUUGUAGUUAAGGAUUCUCAGAAUAUAUGUACUGAGAAUAUGUUUCAUAGAAGUUAGUUUGUUAGUUCUAGAGCAACCAGCUCCUUGAAGUUAGAGUACUUGCUACUUUUAACAUGUGUAUCCCAGGCGUGUAUAUACGCUUAUAUUUAACGGUACUAGGUUAGCGUUAAUUAUUACGAAAGUGUUCCUCUAUAUUAAUAGAAUAAUCAAUAUUAUAAUCCGCUUUAACUAACUGAUUGUAGCUUGAUUUAAAUAUAAGAAAUCAUUUAUAUUAUAAAGCUCGCUUUUCAAGGAUUUUGAACGUGCAUAAAGUCGUCAGCAUAUUUUUUUGUUUUGCGACAUAUUUGCCGAUAUAUUGGCUGUUGAGAGCGGUCUCAAGUCGUUCAGAGUACAAUAAAAUAUUUAAAAUAGAUACUUAGUUACUUAAUAAAAAGCGUAGACAGUUGAUAGUCAAGGUUUUAACAAAACUCCGUCGUCGUUGGUCCUUCGAACCGUUUUUGCAAGCUCAUAUAUUUUAUCCGUUGUUCAAGAAUUAAAUUUCAGCUAAUGGCUGUGGCGUAUUCUACAGAAUUAACAGAUUAAUUAUAUCCUUCAUACAAGAAUCAAACUUUAGCUAAUGCCUAUGGUAUAUUCUACAAAACUAACACAGAUUUAUUAUAUCCGUCAUACAAGAAAUAAAUUUCAACUAAGGCCUCUGGCAUAUUCUACAGAAUUAACACAGAUUAAUUAUAUCCAUCAUACAAGAAUUAAAUUUCAAUUCACGGCUGUGGCAUAUUCUACAGAAUUAACACAGAUUAAUUAUAUCCGUCAUACAAGAAUUAAAUUUCAAUUCGCGGCUGUGGCAUAUUCUACAAAAUUAACGCAGAUUUAUUAUAUCCGUCAUACAAGAAUUAAAUUUAAAUUAACAGCUGUGGCAUAUACUACAGAAUUAACACAGAUUAAUUAUAUCCGUCAUACAAGAAUUAAAUUUCAGAUAAUGCCUGUGGCAUAUUCUACAAAAUUAACGCAGAUUUAUUAUAUCCGUCAUACAAGAAUUAAAUUUAAAUUAACAGCUGUGGCAUAUUCUACAGAAUUAACACAGAUUAAUUAUAUCCGUCAUACAAGAAUUAAAUUUCAGAUAAUGCCUGUGGCAUAUUCUACAGAAUUAACACAGAUUAAUUAUAUCAAUCAUACAAGAAUUAAAUUUCAAUUAACGGCUGUGGCAUAUUCUACAAAAUUAACACAGAUUUAUUAUAUCCGUCAUACAAGAAUUAAAUUUCAAUUAACGGCUGUGGCAUAUUUUACAGAAUUGCCACACGUUUAUUAUAUCCAUCAUACAAGAAUUAAACUUCAGCUAAUGCCUGUGGCAUAUUCUACAGAAUUAGCACAGAUUAAUUAUAUCCGUCAUACAGGAAUUAAAUAUCAAUUAACGGCUGUGGCAUAUUCUACAGAAUUAACACAAAUUAUUUUAUCCGUCAUAUAAGAAUUAAAUUUUAGCUAAUGGGUGUGGUAGAUUUUACAGAAUUGCCACACGUUUAUUAUAUCCGUUAGACAAGAAUUAAACUUCAAUUAAUGGAUGUGGCAUAUUCUUCAAAAUUUUCUCCGUCAUACAAGAAUUAAAUUUCAGCUAAUGGAUGUGGUAGAUUCUACAGAAUUAACAUAGAUGAAUUGUAUACGUCAUACAAGAAUUAAAUUUCAAUUAAUAGCUGUAGUAGAAUCUACAGAAUUAACACAGAUUUAUUUUAUUCGUCACUAGAUGACCCGGUUAACUUCGUAUCACCUACAUAUAUUUGUUAAUAAUUAUUAAUUUUCACUGUGGAACGUGAUUAAAACAUAGCAAUACGAUUAUCAUUAUCCGUUUCUCGCUGGUCGAUAGUGCGGUUUGCACGUGAGGUAGUUCGUCGCCUAUUUGAUUGACUUCGACGACCUACAUGAGGUCGUCUUCUCUGUGGCAUUUUCAAAAAAAUAAUAAUAAUUAAAGUUCUCGUGCACCUACAAACUGAUCAUAGAUUUUAAUUAGUCUUGAAAUUUCUUUAUUUAUUUUCUUUUCGACAACCAACUGACACUUUUUAACUUUUCUUAUUUCUGAAAUGUUUUGCAUUUCAACAAAAUAAACCAAAGAGAUCGGACCCUAUACUACAUCUAUAGCUAAUGGCUGUGGUAGGUUUUACAGAAUUGCCACACAUUUAUUAUAUCCGUCAUACAAGAAUUAAAUUUCAGCUAAUGACUGUGUAGGUUUUACAGAAUUGCCACACGUUAAAUAUAUCCGUCAUACAAGAAUUAAAUUUCAGCUAAUGGCUGUGUAGGUUUUACAGAAUUGCCACACAUUUAUUAUAUCCGUCAUACAAGAAUUAAAUUUCAGCUAAUGGCUGUGUAGGUUUUACAGAAUUGCCACACAUUUAUUAUAUCCGUCAUACAAGAAUUAAAUUUCAGCUAAUGGCUGUGGUAGGUUUUACAGAAUUGCCACACAUUAAAUAUAUCCGUCAUACUAGAAUUACAUUUCUGCUAAUGGCUGUGUAGGUUUUACAGAAUUGUCACACGUUAAAUAUAUCCGUCAUAUGACAAAUAAAUUUCUACUAAUGGCUGUGUAGGUUUUACAGAAUUGCCACACAUUUAUUAUAUCCGUCAUACAAGAAUUAAAUUUCUGCUAAUGGCUGUGUAGGUUUUACAGAAUUGCCACACAUUUAUUAUAUCCGUCAUACAAGAAUAACAUUUCUGCUAAUGGCUGUGGUAGGUUUUACAGAAUUGCCACGCAUUAAAUAUAUCCAUCAUACAAGAAUUAAAUUUCAGCUAAUGGCUGUGUAGGUUUUACAGAAUUGCCACACGUUAAAUAUAUCCGUCAUACAAGAAUAACAUUUCUGCUAAUGGCUGUGGUAGGUUUUACAGAAUUGCCACGCAUUAAAUAUAUCCGUCAUACAAGAAUUAAAUUUCAGCUAAUGGCUGUGUAGGUUUUACAGAAUUGCCACACGUUUAUUAUAUCCGUCAUACAAGAAUAACAUUUCAGCUAAUGGCUGUGGUAGAUUUUUCAGAACUGCCAUUGACUUUGUCGUACAAGUUUCGUUAUAGUAGGGGUUGUUACGAUAUCGCGAAACUAGCACUGUUAAAAACCGCUUAACUGACUAAAAUAGUCAAAUUGAGAUCUAUACAUAAAAUACUAAGUAAUUAACGAUACAUUCAGUUUUAAGUCUCCCCCGAAAAUAUCUACUUGCGCGAUAAUGUAUAUUCUAAUCCCGACUAUAUGAAUUUCUCGCAAAGCGGUUCGUCGGACAUAUAGAUGCUUUUAGUCAAAUAUCAUAUUAUAGGGUACUUAAAUAUUCAAAUGCCAUGCGAAGAUUCUUGAUACAUUUUCUAAACAAAUUGUAGGAACAUAACAUCAGAAAAGUGCAUGUACCCAGAACUACAAUUACACCAGUAAAUAUAUCAGUGACUUGUAACUGUGUACGUUCACUGUAUCGGUUAGUAGAUUAUUGCCAUUAGUACUUAUUGGUUACAUUAUUAAAAUAUAAGCUAUAGUAAAUCGAAUAAAGUAUAUUUUCCGUAGUAUAUCGGCAUGAGUGAAAAUCCGG